RNAcentral lists this long non-coding RNA (5928 nucleotides) under Phaseolus vulgaris (common bean). RNAcentral's name for it is "long non-coding RNA (PVUL_LNC002661)". The stretch from base 2164 to 2357 matches the Rfam family "MIR159 microRNA precursor family". The record is from RNAcentral. Lineage: Eukaryota; Viridiplantae; Streptophyta; Magnoliopsida; Fabales; Fabaceae.
GAAAAUAAGAUAAUAGAAAUGUGAUUGUUGAUUAUUAUGAUAGUUUAAAAUGUGGGAGAAUCUCUGAUAAACGUGGACAUGGAAACCUGUUGAUGACAGGUGAGUCAUCUUUUUGUAAACUGUAUAAUUUCAAGUACCCUGGUUCAUGAUUUUCUCCGCCAGACUCAUUAGUGAGCUCAAACCCUAUAUAUACGCACCGUGUUCAUCGAUUUCCAUGUACAAAAACCAGAUCGAGGAAAUAGCUGUAGUAGGAUAGCCACUAUAAAAAGAGAGAGAGAGAGAGAGAAGGGUAUGUAGAUUGUAGAUCACUAGAUUCACUAGAUUGUAGUGUCACUUGGUCACCAGAGCCUAAUAAAGAAUAGUGCACAACAGUGAAGUGACUGGCACAUAGAGAGACUUAAAAGAAGGAACGGGAACCCCACUUUUCCAUCCUCACUUUCCUGUUUUUUUACCCUUUAUUCACUGUACUUACACAGUACAACAUUUAUGUCGGUUUGUGUGAGAGUGUGUGUGUGAGAUAAGGGUCUUUCUUUUGCUUUAGAGAGAGAGCAAAUGAGAGAAGGAGAAACAUGAUGGGAAAUGAAAAUCUCCUUUCUUGCUAGUUCUGGUUUUUCUAUCUCUGGUUUGUGUUGUGUGAGUGGAGAAAAAUCCUCUCACUCUGGAAAAGGAAAAGAUGAUAUUUGCUUCCCCUUUGUUUGUUUCAUUUUUUUUGUUUUUGGAAACAGUGCUUUUACUGUUUUACCAAAUUUGUGUGGAUGUGAGAUCUUCAAUCGUUUUCCCUUCUCUAACUCUCACGAAGACAUUGACUACUCUCCCUAUUCUCCUCUCUCUCUCUCUCUCUCUCCUUCUGCUACUUCUUUAAUACAGUUUCUCUUCCGUGAUUUCUGCUUCUUCCGACCCUUUGAUUUUUAUUUUUCAUUUUUCAUUUUUCUAGCUGUUUAUUUUUCCUGCUGGGAUAAAGUUAUAUGGAACUCAUUCUGUGUUCUUACUCAUGUUUCAUCUCACCCCUUUCUUUGUUGAUUUGGUUUCUUUUCUCCUUUAGCAGCUGUGCCUGUGAUACUGUUCUUUGUUCCAAGCUUUCGGUUUUUGGUUCGCUUUGUGUGAAGAACCGGAGAAGUAUAUUAAGUUCAAGAUGCAGUUAGUUUGGUUUUGAUUCAUGUUGCAUAAAGAAGUUGACCCUUUGAUUUUUUUUGCGCCUAUGAAUAUUACAUUGCAUACUCCUGUGUGAUUUGAUCAUAUACUUUAGAUUUUGUUGUGUCCGAUCGUGAUCUUUAUAUGCAGUGUAUUUAUUAGUGUAUCUGUUGUUCAUCUGUUUUGAAUGAUAUUCAAAGGGUUAGAAAAGAACACUAUUCUAGUAUCAAGAAGGAAAAAUAUUUUUGAGAAUCUUAAUGUAUUUUUCUGAGUACUUUUGAUAUUUUUAGGUCCUAGGGUUAGGGUUCUUGUUUUUAACAUCUUAGAAGCCAAUUUCACAAAAGCUGUUAUAUAAUUUCGAUUAACUUUACAUUCCUUGGCAGUCUGCAUGCUAGUUAAAAAUGAUUAAAAAGUUUUAAUACUUAAUUAAUCAUUGUUAAUUAAGCAUUUGAGUGCUUGGAAGAAAAUGAUUCCUUCUUUCUGGAAAAUGUUUAGUCUUACCCAUGAAUACUAAUUAAAGGUUAGUCUUCAGUAUUUGUCACCAUAUCUACAUACUGUUUACAGUGUUUGUCAAUAUGAAUUAUAGGUCCUUCAAUCCUUGGAUUAUUGUUAAUGAUUCCUUCUGUGCCUAGUAAUGAGAGCAUUGUAGUUCUGUCAUUCUAGAUUCAUCUCUGUUUGUUGAAUUUCCAUUUGUUUACCUUCUUGGAUAUACUAUGAAUAUGUUUACUUAUUAUUUUUUAUUGCAGCAUUUUUGCUUGGUCUUUGAUUAAAUUAAAUGCUAGCAGAUUUCACAUGAAUGAAAUGUUAUGUGAAGAUUCACACACACACACAUAUAUAUAUAUGUAUUGUCUUUUAAAUUCUAGAUUAUCUGUGUUUUUGCAACCACUCAAUAGGUAUUGUCUCAUUUGAUGUCAUUUUGUUUGAUCUUUAGAUCUGAUGGAAUAUUGUUGUUGUAACAUUUUUUGUUCAAAAUGUUCUUAUAUGCAAUGUACCAAUUUUGGACUAAGAAUAAUGAAGAUGUAUGGUUUGAGAAAUAGUUUAAGAGAGCUUCCUUCAGUCCACUCAUGGAUGGGUAGAGGGUUUGAAUUAUCUGCUGACUCAUUCAUUCAAACACAAUAGAAUUGACUUGAUGGUAUGCUAUUGUGAAUGUGUGAAUGAUGCAGGAGGUAAAAUUCAUCCUUUUCUUGUCUUUGCUUGGACUGAAGGGAGCUCCCUUUUAAUAUUUAUGUCAUUAUAUUAUAGUAACAUUUUUUUUAUCAUGAUUUACCUUUUCUUCAUCUUCUCAUUAUCUCUAUAUAUACCUCUUUUUUGUUGAUAUUUUUUUUUAUCUCUAUAUAUAACUCUUUAGUCAAGACUUGCUCAUGUUUCAGUGAUUUCUUCACUUUUUCCACAUACUCUUUGGCAUGAAAGAAUGUCCAAUUUCAUUUGAAUGUCAUCCAAUGAAAUCUGAAACUAAAAACUAAUGGUUUAUUAUAGUCAUUACUUGUUAUGGAAAUUAUACUCAAAGAACUUUUGUAUUUUAUUUGUGUUCAUUUAGCAAUCUCAGUUAUCGUUUACAAAUUAUCGUUGAAGAGUUUAUUUUUUUCUUUAACUUAUUCCCCCUGAUUUAUUUCAUGCAUUGGAAGAACUCAUUAAUCAGGAAGUUUUUUUUUUAAAUAGGUAGUAUAAAUUAGCUGGCCAAAAUCUAACAAUUUAAAUCUGUUGCAUAUAAUUUUUUUUAAUGAAGCUGAAAUUUAUUUACAUUGUUCUCAAACUUUCAAUCACUUUAAUUAUUAACAUAUUUACACCCUCUUUGCUUUAAAACCAUAAGCUUAGUGGGUAGUAAUGGUUUUGUGUUGGAUUUGGGGAAAUUUGUGGGAUGAAUUUACCUGUAUGAGGGAAAUAAGAAACAAGCUGUGAAGUUUUUAUGUUUAGGAAGCUCUUAGAAAUGCAAUUUCCUUUAACAUAUCCUAUUUUGGUUAUAAUUUAUAGAAAAUUAAAUUCAGAGUAAAAAGUUGAUCUUGCUAGUUUUACUAGUUUUAUUGUAACUUUUAAUAAACUAGAGAAAAUGUUUCAAUAAUUUCUUUUUUUGUCUUUUGUAACUUGAUUGCAAAUUUGACGGUGUUGUAGAUUUUUUUUUAUACUGAAAGCUUUGGUAUGUAUUUGACCACAUAUGUAGAUGGUGAAAAUUGAAUUAGGUUAUUACCUUGUUUUUCCAGUAUCAUAAGAGUUAUUUAUUGUUUUUGUAUGGUACUUACUACUUACCAAUGCUAUCACAUGAUUUGUCAUGCACAAGAUAAGAUUCUUACAACAUCUAAAGUAUUGUUAGUAGUUCAGAUUUUGUACAUUUACAUGAUGUUGCCAUUAUCCUAAACAGUGAUGUGGACCCCAUAUUGUCUCAUAAUUUUGAAUGUACAAUAUACAUGCUUGGCACAUAAUAUAGUAUAUGAAAAUUGAUCUUCCACCAACUAUGCCCUUAAUUUUUAGUUUAGGUAUGCAUGGAUUUAUAGCUUCCUAAAUCAUUUAUGCAACAAAUUCUUUUCUCUGUAGCUUUACAUCUUGAGAUUUUUCAGUAGGUUGAUGAAUUUAAUUUGAAUGGUUUACUUUAUAUAUAUUAUGUAGGAAUAUUCUAUCUUAUCAACUAAACUGAUUAAUUGAAGAUAUUGAGUUAAUUAAUUUAGAGGCAAUAAAACCAUUCUGGGAAAAAUUCAAGUGGCCCAUGUUAUACAUAUUAGGUUAGAGUAUCAAAAUGCGAAAAAAAUGAAUAUUUUAUAUUUAAUAUAAAUAUAUUUUUAUGGAUUAAUAUUUUUUUUACUUUUAUAACAUUUAAAAAUAUAAAGUUCUUUAAAAAAUAUUAUUUUUUACUUUAUAUUUAGUUUUCUCUUGAUUAAGAAGUUAGUGUCACUGAAAUUAUUUUAAUUCUUAUGAUUUUAUAAAAUAAAUAAUUCUAAUAUCCAUUAGAGACAAUGUAUAGUUCUAAAUGUAAGAUAUAUUUAAAACAAAUAAUUAAAUAAUAGCUAUUGGAAUUGCUUUGUAUAUAUCAAGUUCUUUUGAAUUCAAAUGUAAAAUCGGUUUUUAAGUGAUACUAAUUUUUAACUAUCUACAUUUUAUUUAAUAUUAUUGUGUUAAGAUUGUCUGCAUGUUUAAUAUUGGUCAUCGAUUUUAAUGAUUACGACUUGAGAUGAUUUAGAAAUUAUAAUUUUCAUAUUAUAAAUUAAAAAUAUGAAUGUGAAUUUGUGUAUAAAUGAAGAAAGUUAAAAAAAUGCUAUUUUGGAAAAAUAUAUUUAUAUAAAUAGUAUAAUGUUUUACAAAUAUCUUUAAAAUAUAAAAUAUAUGUAGAAAUAAUUUCAAUUUAAAUAUGGAAGUAAUUUUUAUAAUGCAUUUUAUUUUGUUAUUUAGGUGCAAUAUAAGUUAUAUAUACUAUAUUUUAAUUUUAGUAAUAUAAAGUUUUAUGGUUUUAACGUCUGUGACAUGUGGUCAUUAUUAGUUUUGACAAUUUUUGAUGUCAUAUUUUUUGUGUUCAGCUAUCACUUAACAGUGACACUAAUUAUAGUAAAUUAAUUUUUCUAUUCCAAGAAUUAAAGUGAAAAAUGAAAAAGUAUUUCAGUGUCAAAUCACAUCAGUAAAUUAGAAAGAUGUAAGUAGAAUAUUCAAAAAAAAAUUAUCAACAUACCCCUCUUAAUCUUUUUUAUUUUCUCCUAUUCACUUUUUUAUUUUUAUUAUUUAUUAGUCAUCUCAUUUUUACUGAUUGAUAUUGAUUUUGGUUGGCUAGCUGGCUCUAAACUCUGUCACAGAUGCCUCACAAAUAUACUACCUAUCUACAUUGAUUGCAGGGUAGUGUGUGUCUGGUGUGUGUAUAUGUAUGUUAUAUAUGUAUAUAUGUGUAUCACUUUAUUUCAAAACACCAACAAAAGCCAACUUUGGUCUCUUUUAGAACCCAAAGGUUUGGCUCUUAGUUGGAACUCAAAGACCACCAAUGCAUAGAAUAGGGUCAAGUUAGCCUGUGAUUGUAACACAUUUUACUGUGAUGUGUCAAUUUCAGGUACUGUUGUUGCAGAACAAUCAUCAUGAAAGGUGCACUAUGAGAUUGAGAAGCAACCUGGACUCAUUGGAUACUAAAUGAUAAUAAAAUGAGAAGAAAACAUACAUACAUAGCAUGAUGCAUUGUCAUACUCUUUCAAUUUCCUUUUAUGAAAAGAAAAGAGAAUUCUUUGUUGCAUAUAUAAAUGGUUACUGAUGAACCUUCCAGUGUUGCAGUGUCUGAAAUUAAAUAUUACAAACUCUGUCUUCUUGUCCAUCAGUCUGAACUUGGGUCUAGGAAGUUGGAACUUGGAGCUACACAGUUCUUCUACUAUUAUGUUGAAAUUUAUAAAUAUUUGAAUCAAUAUGGAGUUUACCCUAAACUAAUGAUCAUUUUUCUUAUAUUCUUUACCAUGGAAUUCAUUUUUUUUAAAGAGAAUAACAGAUAAAAAAGAGUUAAGAGUUUGUAUAUUUGAGUAUUUAAAUUGUUUUAGAACUGGUGGGAUAUCUAUUCUCAAACAGAGAACAUGUUCUUUAGGGUGUCAUUUUUUGACAAUUUAAAUAUGAUAUUUUUGGGGUUCUAAAAGGUUUUGGCAAAAGUACUUUUUCUUGAGUUCCAACUCUUGAGGCAAUAGUUCCAAUAUGGAAUAAUAUUAUUUAAGUAGGUUUGCAUGUGUUUAACUGAACUAGCUUAAAAAUUAAGUGAGUUUCUUUAGGAGUUCGAGGUGCAAGUACGCAUGAACUGGAUAUUUUACAUUUCUUUACUAUUUAAUGACUUAAUGCUGGAUGUUUCAGGAG